UUCUUAUUGGAUAAUAAUUGUUAUGUGUCAUGUUCUGAUUGGAUGUCAACUCCAUGAAAGAUGAAAUGCAUUGUUGUUUUCAUUAACCAAUCAGAGCAUAAUAUAUGACAGUUAUCAUCC
Molecule: non-coding RNA, 120 nt
Organism: Glycine max (soybean)
Lineage: Eukaryota; Viridiplantae; Streptophyta; Magnoliopsida; Fabales; Fabaceae
Source: Rfam